UGAAGGUAAUAUAUUUAGAUUUAUGUGAUGUGUUAAAAAAAGUGGAGUUAGCCUAUGAUUAAAGGGGUGAAGAGGUGGAGGUAGGUUUAGAGUGACAGCUCGUCACGCAGGGAGUGGUUUGUCCGCUUUUAAAAGACGUUGUAACAGUCUAUCUGACCUCUAUUCCCUGACGUCUUUAGCUAGCAUUUGUUAGCUAGCUUGUCCGAUCGUUUUUCCUUCAUCCUUCUCAACCAGACCAACGGUGUAUUUUUCUUUUCUAACUCGUUUGGUGGAGAAAAGCAAGAGGAAGACAUCUUACAGUCAUGUCUACAAAGGCUAGUCUGCAUCAAUAGGGCCUUCUACGAAGAUUAGGUGUCAUGCUUCUUGGAGCUCUGACGAUGAUUUUCAACAAGGGAGACCAGUAUUACAGAAUAUAAGUCAACUCUUAAAUCAGUCCACCGGUGUAAUAAGAAAAAGAAGUCGAUCUGAACGCUCUAAGAAAGCUGAAAGAGGGUCGUCUCUACCUCUACAAAAGCGGCAAUGUGGUGCAGGGGUUUUGAUAAACCCAGGCUUUGAAAACCGAAGACUCCGUCAUCCCUGUGAGUCACAGCAGCUAUUUGGGAGCAACGAUAUACCCAUGCCAUCUCGCGUUCGCAGAAUAAGGAAGACCACUAUUGGGGAGCCUCAGGUGCUUCUCCCGCUCAAACCUGCAUGCUUGACCGUUGCAUUGGAUGAGGCCGCUUCUACUGGGAUAGCCGUGGUCC
Perca flavescens (yellow perch) is the source of this 743-nucleotide long non-coding RNA. RefSeq lists it as uncharacterized. Lineage: Eukaryota; Metazoa; Chordata; Actinopteri; Perciformes; Percidae. The transcript has 5 exons. The record is from RefSeq and is a predicted model, not a curated record.